GAUGAACGCUGGCGGCGUGCCUAACACAUGCAAGUCGAGCGAGAACUUCGGUUCUAGCGGCGGACGGGUGAGUAACGCGUGGGUAACCUGCCCUAUACACAUGGAUAACAUACCGAAAGGUAUGCUAAUACAAGAUAAUACAUUGAUAAGGCAUCUUAUUAAUGUCAAAGCUUUUGCGGUAUAGGAUGGACCCGCGUCCCAUUAGUUAGUUGGUGAGGUAACGGCUCACCAAGGCCACGAUGGGUAGCCGACCUGAGAGGGUGAUCGGCCACACUGGAACUGAGACACGGUCCAGACUCCUACGGGAGGCAGCAGUGGGGAAUAUUGCACAAUGGGCGCAAGCCUGAUGCAGCAACGCCGCGUGAGCGAUGAAGGCCUUCGGGUCGUAAAGCUCUGUCCUCAAGGAAGAAUAAUGACGGUACUUGAGGAGGAAGCCCCGGCUAACUACGUGCCAGCAGCCGCCGUAA
Molecule: ribosomal RNA, 467 nt
Filed under: uncultured bacterium
Lineage: Bacteria
Description: bacterial SSU rRNA
Rfam family: Bacterial small subunit ribosomal RNA
Source: RNAcentral